CUUCAGAUCUGUUCGGUGACUUCUGUUACCUGGGAAAAUGUCCAUCCUUCCCCUCGUUGUUUAAACAGCUUCUCUCUGUCUUGGCCAGAAGAUGUGCGGGGGCUCCACGUGCUGCUCUUUGUGGCAUUAGAGGAAAACUUUGUGGGAGAGAAAUUGCCGGGGCUGAGGACCCCCCACCUGGGUCAACCCUUCCCUUCGGGUUCGCCCUGAGGCACCCCCUGUCUCCCCGUCUGUAAACUCCUCCGGGUCUGCUCGUGGGGAUCCUGGGAGGAGGACACGUCACCUCAUCCACCCUGCAGGCUCUCCAUGGAGACCUUCCCGGAGUCCAGGGCAUCCGAGGGAGAAAAUGCACUUGAGGAAACACGGACACCUCCUCGCUCACCUGGGGAGACCCAGGAACACUGAGUGACCCGCCAACCUGGCCUCUGCCCCUCUGCAAGGACAUCUUCAACCCUAGAGAAAGGACAGAGGAUGGGGAUCAGCCCUGGGGGGCAGUGGGGAGCCCAGCGACAAGGGUCCGAGUGGUGCGGUCCUAAGGGGCCGCCUCCCCCUGUGAUAAGGAACGGAGACAUUUGGACAAGUCCUUCCAACGUGACAACCUGGACGCCUCCUCUCGGGGAUGUUCCCUUACUCGUGGAAAUGAGUCUCACAAAAGGGCACCCUCCCGCCGCCUGUCGGAGCCCCUCCGUCUGACUCCCAGGAGCGCCCAGUCUUGCUGUGUCUACGCCCGAGCUGGUCAUCUUGUUGGAGCAAAAAAAAAUGGAGCCCUGGGAUGUGAAGAGAAGUGCAAAUCCUGUCCUCCUCCUAGGUAGGUGGAAUGAAUCCAGCAGAG
Long non-coding RNA from Talpa occidentalis (Iberian mole), 832 nucleotides. RefSeq lists it as uncharacterized. The transcript is spliced from 3 exons. NCBI's taxonomy places the organism in Eukaryota, Metazoa, Chordata, Mammalia, Eulipotyphla, Talpidae. The record is from RefSeq and is a predicted model, not a curated record.